Molecule: ribosomal RNA, 380 nt
Filed under: uncultured eukaryote
Lineage: Eukaryota
Description: partial 18S ribosomal RNA
Rfam family: Eukaryotic small subunit ribosomal RNA
Source: RNAcentral
CAAUAGCGUAUAUUAAAGUUGUUGCAGUUAAAAAGUUCGUAGUUGGAUUUGUGGCGUACGGUGUGUUCCGGGCACUUGUUGUCUGAGUAACCUGCUGUUGCCAUCCUUGGGUGGAACCUGUGUGGCAUUAGGUUGUCGUGCAGGGGAUGCCCAUCAUUUACUGUGAAAAAAUUAGAGUGUUCAAAGCAGGCUUAUGCCGUUGAAUAUAUUAGCAUGGAAUAAUGAGAUAGGACUUUUUUGCUAUUUUGUUGGUUUGCGCAAAGGGGUAAUGAUUAAUAGGGACAGUUGGGGGUAUUCGUAUUCCAUUGUCAGAGGUGAAAUUCUUGGAUUUUUGGAAGACGAACUACUGCGAAAGCAUUUACCAAGGAUGUUUUCAUUAA